Molecule: ribosomal RNA, 428 nt
Filed under: uncultured bacterium
Lineage: Bacteria
Description: partial 16S ribosomal RNA
Rfam family: Bacterial small subunit ribosomal RNA
Source: RNAcentral
UGGGGAAUAUUGCACAAUGGGCGCAAGCCUGAUGCAGCCAUGCCGCGUGUGUGAAGAAGGCCUUCGGGUUGUAAAGCACUUUCAGCGAGGAGGAAGGUGGUGAACUUAAUACGUUCAUCAAUUGACGUUACUCGCAGAAGAAGCACCGGCUAACUCCGUGCCAGCAGCCGCGGUAAUACGGAGGGUGCAAGCGUUAAUCGGAAUUACUGGGCGUAAAGCGCACGCAGGCGGUUUGUUAAGUCAGACGUGAAAUCCCCGGGCUCAACCUGGGAACUGCAUUUGAAACUGGCAAGCUAGAGUCUCGUAGAGGGGGGUAGAAUUCCAGGUGUAGCGGUGAAAUGCGUAGAGAUCUGGAGGAAUACCGGUGGCGAAGGCGGCCCCCUGGACGAAGACUGACGCUCAGGUGCGAAAGCGUGGGGAGCAAAACA